GAUCAUGAAUGGGUGAUGAGCA
RNAcentral lists this small RNA (22 nucleotides) under Arabidopsis thaliana (thale cress). RNAcentral's name for it is "ATSL302890". The record is from RNAcentral. Lineage: Eukaryota; Viridiplantae; Streptophyta; Magnoliopsida; Brassicales; Brassicaceae.